AUAUAUAUAUAUAGAGAGAGAGAGAGAGAGAGAGAGAGAAAGAAAGAAAAAAAAGAAGAAAAAAUUAAAUCAUCUUCGAUACAUUCUUGGAAAUAGGUUAAGUUUUCCGCUUGGAUGUUCUGUCGAAAGGAACUACAAGAUCGUUAAGAAAGAUUCGUCUUUAGGAAAGUUGUCUUGGUUCGACUUUUAAAGGAGACUUCAAUUCCACGAACUAUUUCGAUAAACAAGAGAGAGAGAGAGAGAGAGAG
Long non-coding RNA from Vespa mandarinia (Asian giant hornet), 248 nucleotides. NCBI's taxonomy places the organism in Eukaryota, Metazoa, Arthropoda, Insecta, Hymenoptera, Vespidae. The record is from RefSeq and is a predicted model, not a curated record.